RNAcentral lists this microRNA precursor (110 nucleotides) under Pelobates cultripes (western spadefoot toad). The record is from RNAcentral. Lineage: Eukaryota; Metazoa; Chordata; Amphibia; Anura; Pelobatidae.
UUAAUGUGUGUGUAUUUGUGUGUAGUGUAUACACUAAACACAAAUACACACACAUUAAAAAAAAUGUGUGUGUAUACACUACACACAAAUACACACACAUUAAAAAAAAA